UAAUACUUUUUGAAUGCUUAAACGACAAGUAAAUGUAAAUGGGGUUUUGAAGGUUAGGUUCGAAGUUUGAAGUUUGAACAUUAGGUUUAAGAGAAAAAGUAGGUGGCUGGACGUUUACAUUACUAAAUAUUAUUACUCUCUGGUUUCAAAGUUCCAACUGUACCGAUAUAUCCUAUUUACUAGCUCGUGCUCUGCAAAUGAAACUUCCAGAGAAUACUUAGUCAUUAAGCUAUGAUCUUUCUCUCUUUCCGUCUAAACUGAUCCAAGUGUGUGUAUAUAUAGAGAGGGCUCUAUUUUUUUUCUGAGCACGUCGAUCAUAUAGAUAUUCCAUAGCUACAAUGCCUCCGCCAUGGGGACCACCGCCUCCGGGGCCUGGCGGACCACCCGGCCCAUGUGGUUGUUUCGGUUUUCUUUGUGAUGGUGUUUGCCGUCUUGUCUCUUCUUGUGCUUAUAUCCUCUGCUGCUGCUGCAUACUGGAGAGAUGCUGUCCACCACUGUUUGGUGGGCCAGGGGGUCCAGGUGGGCCAGGGGGUCCAGGUGGCCCACCAGGUCCUUUUGGUGGGCCUCCUCGCUUCUGAUGGGUUCAUUACCAAGAGUGCCAACGAAUGCUUUUGCAAUUUGCAGUCGAUUGAAUGGACGAAAUUUCUUGCAUUUUAUGGCACUAAAGUUGGGAAUUAGUGUUAUUAAUGGGGCCAGAUGAAGUUAUUUGAUUCUUGAACUAGAACUGUAUUAAAAUUUGGCCAUAGUAUAUCAUAUUAUAUAAAUAUGCAUGUUAUUUAAACAUGUAAAGCUUGUAUUUGCUUCCACAUAUUGGUAUUUAUCUGACGAUUUUGUUUAUUACUGCAA
Molecule: long non-coding RNA, 846 nt
Organism: Ziziphus jujuba (common jujube)
Lineage: Eukaryota; Viridiplantae; Streptophyta; Magnoliopsida; Rosales; Rhamnaceae
Exons: 2
Source: RefSeq, a predicted model, not a curated record